Molecule: ribosomal RNA, 497 nt
Filed under: uncultured bacterium
Lineage: Bacteria
Description: partial 16S ribosomal RNA
Rfam family: Bacterial small subunit ribosomal RNA
Source: RNAcentral
GACGAACGCUGGCGGCGUGCCUAAUACAUGCAAGUAGAACGCUGAAGAGAGGAGCUUGCUCUUCUUGGAUGAGUUGCGAACGGGUGAGUAACGCGUAGGUAACCUGCCUUGUAGCGGGGGAUAACUAUUGGAAACGAUAGCUAAUACCGCAUAGCAAUGGAUGACACAUGUCAUUUAUUUGAAAGGGGCAAUUGUUCCACUACAAGAUGGACCUGCGUUGUAUUAGCUAGUAGGUGAGGUAAUGGCUCACCUAGGCGACGAUACAUAGCCGACCUGAGAGGGUGAUCGGCCACACUGGGACUGAGACACGGCCCAGACUCCUACGGGAGGCAGCAGUAGGGAAUCUUCGGCAAUGGGGGCAACCCUGACCGAGCAACGCCGCGUGAGUGAAGAAGGUUUUCGGAUCGUAAAGCUCUGUUGUAAGUCAAGAACGGGUGUGAGAGUGGAAAGUUCACACUGUGACGGUAGCUUACCAGAAAGGGACGGCUAACUACGUG